UGUAAUCGAUUACCAGGCUUGAAAACGAGGUCAGGAAGCUAGGGAAGCCUCUGGUAAUCGAUUACCAAGGGGUGUAAUCGAUUACCAGGCUUAAAAAGGGAACUGGGAGAUGGUGGAAGCCUCUGGUAAUCGAUUACCAGCCUGUGUAAUCAAUUACACAGAGGAAUGGGUCACUGGUAAUCGAUUACCAGGCAUGUGUAAUCGAUUACACAAUGCAUUAUUGCA
RNAcentral lists this long non-coding RNA (225 nucleotides) under Glycine max (soybean). RNAcentral's name for it is "long non-coding RNA (GMAX_LNC000563)". The record is from RNAcentral. Lineage: Eukaryota; Viridiplantae; Streptophyta; Magnoliopsida; Fabales; Fabaceae.